AUGUAAAUUUUUGUGUGAGCUGUUAUUUAUUUAAAUAGUAAAUGAUUUUUAUUUUUAAUCGCAGUAAUUAGUAUUAUUAGUUAAAGAAAUUUAGAAAUAGUGAUAUUAAAAGUAUUGACAAAAUUUGUGCCAGCAGUCGCGGUUACACAAAUAAUACGAAUAAAUUUUUUUAGUAAAAGUUAAUUUAAUUUUUUUUUAAUUUUAAAUGAAUUUGUUAGGUGAAAUUUUUAAAUUUAUUAAAUUUAUAAAUAAUAAUAGAUAAAGCUUGUAAAUUUUAAUUAAAAACUAGGAUUAGAUACCCUAUUAUUUAAAAUGUAAGUUAAAUUAUUAAAGUAGUAUUAGUUAUGAUCUUAAAACUUAAAAAAUUUGGCGGUAUUUUAGUUUAUUCAGAGGAACCUGUUCUAUAAUCGAUAAUCCGCGAUGGACCUUACUUGAAUUUGUUUAUCAGUUUAUAUACCGUCGUUAUCAGAAUAUUUUAUAAGAAUAAUAAUUUUCUGUAAUUUUUAUUAAAAUUAAUAUCAGAUCAAGGUGUAGCUUAUAUUUAAGAAGAAAUGGGUUACAAUAAUUUUAUUUAUAUGGAUAUAAUUAUGAAAAAUUUAUUGAAAGUGGAUCUGAUAGUAAAAUUAUAUAGAUUAAUAAUUUGAUUUUAACUCUAAAAUAUGUACACAUCGCCCGUCGCUCUUGUUAUUAAAAUAAGAUAAGUCGUAACAUAGUAGAUGUACUGGAAAGUGUAUCUAGAAUG
This 742-nucleotide non-coding RNA is filed under the name Tanypeza longimana. Lineage: Eukaryota; Metazoa; Arthropoda; Insecta; Diptera; Tanypezidae. The record is from RNAcentral.